RNAcentral lists this transfer RNA (26 nucleotides) under Pristimantis lirellus. RNAcentral's name for it is "partial tRNA-Phe". The record is from RNAcentral. Lineage: Eukaryota; Metazoa; Chordata; Amphibia; Anura; Strabomantidae.
AGAUGAAUCCUUAAAAAUCCUUCAAA